Molecule: ribosomal RNA, 209 nt
Filed under: Rhodomonas abbreviata
Lineage: Eukaryota; Cryptophyceae; Pyrenomonadales; Pyrenomonadaceae
Description: partial Bacterial large subunit ribosomal RNA
Rfam family: Bacterial large subunit ribosomal RNA
Source: RNAcentral
AGCCGCCGUUGAAAUACCACCCUUGUAUGUUUGAUGUUCUAACAUUGGUCCCUAAUCGGGAUUGUGGACAGUGUCUGGUGGGUAGUUUGACUGGGGCGGUCUCCUCCCAAAGAGUAACGGAGGAGCACGAAGGUUAGCUAAUCACGGUCGGACAUCGUGAGGUUAGUGCAAUGGCAUAAGCUAGCUUAACUGCGAGACAGACACGUCGA